GGGGUUGUGGCUCAGCGGUAGAGUGUGCGCCUAGCGCGUGUAAGGCCCUGGGUUCGAUCCUAGCACCA
Molecule: transfer RNA, 68 nt
Filed under: Ictidomys tridecemlineatus (thirteen-lined ground squirrel)
Lineage: Eukaryota; Metazoa; Chordata; Mammalia; Rodentia; Sciuridae
Description: Spermophilus tridecemlineatus (thirteen-lined ground squirrel) tRNA
Rfam family: tRNA
About the family: Transfer RNA (tRNA) molecules are approximately 80 nucleotides in length. Their secondary structure includes four short double-helical elements and three loops (D, anti-codon, and T loops).
Source: Rfam by way of RNAcentral